AGAAAUAGUAAAAAGCUAGGGUUCAGUAAAUCUUAAUGAGCCUCCCUCAAUCCCUCCCAAUAUUCUUCUUGGGAUUGGUGGUAAAAAAAAAAAGUCCCCCUCGUUUCUGCUAUAAAUACCCUAUCUUCUCUAAUCCCUUUACAUCCUAUUAUCUCCCCCUUUUCUUCUUUCUCUUACCCUUUUUUCUUUUUGUUUAGACAGACAUGGCUGUCUUUGGAGCUUUUAGGGUUUUAUCAUUAUAAUGGCUGACGACCAUUAAAGAUAAACAAAAGGAACAUGGCCCUCUUUGUAUUCUUCCACAGCUUUCUUGAACUGCAACUUCGUCUUACAUUUUUCCUUGUUAUUUUGUGUUGCUUAUAUAGGCGGUAUGUGAGUAUGUAUGUAUGUCGUUGCGGUUCAAUAAAGCUGUGGGAAGAUACGGACAGGGUCAAAGAGAAAAUUUUCAAGAUCCAUCUGUUCUGGGAUUUGAAAAUGCUACUUUGUGUGCUUGAUUAUUUGUUUUUCUGAUUUCAUCUUACCCUUUCUCUCUCUCUCUCUCUCUCUCUCUCUCUCUCUUUGUCUCUCUUGUCUUUCUAAUCCACUUUAAGAGUUUUUGAUGCACUGAGUUUAAGUUUUUCUUUGACAUGAUUUGCCUCUGAAAGGGAGAUAAAUUAUUUCCUUUCUUUCUUUAUUUAAAUAACAAAGAUUUUUCUUAACCCUAAAUGGCUUAUUUUUUUUUAUUAUUGCAUUUUUGUUCUCUCAAUCAUAUGGAGAGAUGUUCAAGCUUGAAUUAUCAUUGGAUGUAUCUUGAUUAUUUUCUAAUUAUAACUACAACCAUUAUUUCACAACCCUUUUCUGUAUCUGGUCUAUCUUUCUCGUGGUUGCAGGCUUCCAUUGCUAUAAUUCUGCUGCAAACUGCUUCUUUUUACCUCAAAGAAUAUUUAGAAAAAAAAGUUACUCCAAAUUUGCAGUAACACUGUAAGAAGAGAGAGAGAGAGAGACAGAAAGUGGAUGAUAUAACUGUUGUUUUGGUACUUGGAAUUUUCUAUAGUGUGCCCCCCCAUUUGUAGGUUCCACGCUUCUGGUCUUGAGGUUCAAAAAGCUCUUACUUGAUAUUUGUAGAUAAAAUUCCAGCAGAUAUCAGCACUUAUACUUCCAUUGGUAAAAUGUUAACUUCAGUCAUUUUUAUACAUUUCCUAACCCCACCCAAAUAUUCCAUUGCUUUCAAUUUUUUUUCUUUUUUCUUUUUAAUUAUGAUAGGGUUACUACGGACUUAUGAAGCAUUAAAAUUCCAGACUAUACAAGGACCACUGGAAUUAGGCUUUAACCUACCCUCCCUUAUUUGAUAUCCUCACCAGUUGAUCAAGUUUAGUUUGAACCAAGCUUAAAUUUCACUCAAUUGGGUAGGUAAAUGAAGCUUUUAUCAAAAUAGAAUCGGUAUAACAUAAGAUACCUGGAUGGUUCAUGUUAAGAGUGCUUUCUUUACAUUUCAUUAAGAUUAGGGUUUCUCUUUCUCUUUAAAUAUACACACACGCGCACAUAGGCACAUAUGCCUUUUUCCAACAAUACCUAAGAAAAGGGCUUUUAGAUUAUGCCAAAAUUUAUUGUCUUGUACCAAUGGUAUUGAGACCGUUUCAAUAUCAGAUCUGAAUGUUCGUGCCUACCUUGCUUAGGUAGUAGACUAGUAGAAAUAUGGAGUGUUUUUUUAAUAUGCAAGUGGAUCUACCUAGCCAAACUAGAUAAGUGUAUAUAUUAAGGCAGGGACAGAUUAUAGGACAAAUAUUCAUAGCCAUAAAACAAAUCCGAUAAUAAAGUACAAUAUGCAGCUUAACAAACAGUUCUUAUGUGUAUAUGUGUGUCUAUUUAUCUAACUUCUGCUGUAUUGGGAGAUGUUCACUAGAAAAUUGAAUUCAUGGUUUUAAGGCCAACUCUUUUGUUCGUUUAUGAAGCUGCAUAGAUCAUUUGAUCUAGCUACUUUAAUUAUUUGAUCCAUUCAUUCAUAUAUUGUAUUAAUGCAGCCAACUAAUCUAGCUCAUAUAUAUGUAUACACCAUUGGUCCUUUUUGGGUAUUUAUAUAUUAUAUGGAUUUAAUUUAUAUACUACGUGUUAUAGCUAUUUGCUUUUUGGAAGGGAAAAUAGACCAGAGCUGAAAAGCUGUGACUGCCUUGUGUUUUGUGAAUGUCUACUUGAAUCUCGGUAAUCUUAAGAGCUACUACUGUAACCGUGUUGCAACAUUCUGUCUCACAGCCUCUAUUAAAUAAUAUUAAUUAAUCUCAAACUCUUCCACUUCAAAGAACAAGAUAAUUGGAUGCCACCUCUUUAAGGGUAGUUCUAGAAACCAAGAGAAUUAAACUGGUGCUUUGAAGUAAUUUCCUUUACACAUGUGCAUACAUGCAGCAUUUUCUUCUACAUUACUAAUGUCUGUGUAUAGGGCUGUAAAUUAUGAACAGUUAGAUUUUUAUUCGUUUAUGUUUAUUUACUAAGUUAAAUAAAUAAACAUAAGAUUUUAAAGAGAUUUUAUUAGUUUAUGUUCAUUUAUUAAGUUAAAUAAAUAAUAAGCUUGUUUAUUAAAGGAAUCAAACACAAAAACCUUAAAAUAUUGUCAUACACAAUUGAUAAUAUUUUGCAGCCAAGAAACAGGAUUGAAGCGUUAGAGAUACUGUCAUAAUGAUGGCUCACUUUGGGUUGUACAGAACUUUCUUGCAUAUAAAUGGCUUUUGAUCUUGAGGGUCAACAAAGUUGCCAUUUAUCGUUGUUGGGCGAACUUUUACAUUGAGAUAAAAGGGCAGGCCCCUCCCCUCAUGAAGCUUCAUUUAGUGCCAAGCAUAUUACCCAUAUCUACUGGUUCGAACAAAGAGUUAUGCCUCAAAAGCGACGUGACUGAACCAUUUUCCCCAACACAUGGGGGCGGAAAAUUAUUGCUUUGCCUUGCCAUUUCCCUUUCACUUAAUUUGUCCAUAGCUAUUGGGUUACCUCCCCUCCGAAGUUUUUUUUUAUUUUACACUCUAAUUAAUAUUUAUGUUUCACUAGUUUUUUGAAAUCCACUAAGGUUUUAGUUGAUUAAGACAGUAGGGCACUGAACAUGGAAGCUGAAACUACUACUGAUGUAUAAGCGCGCGACAUAUACAAGAAGAAAACCAAAGUUACACAUUUUGUUGUGUAUAAAUAGUUUGAAAAAAAAGUUAGCUAUAUGAGCUAAAUGAAUUAAAUUUAAGUUUAUUAAUCCUAUCCAAAUUAGUUGUUUCUUUUACCAUCUUAGAUUUAUUUCAUUUGAAGAAAACAUUCAAAAUUAAAAA
Long non-coding RNA from Gossypium arboreum, 3275 nucleotides. RefSeq lists it as uncharacterized. NCBI's taxonomy places the organism in Eukaryota, Viridiplantae, Streptophyta, Magnoliopsida, Malvales, Malvaceae. The record is from RefSeq and is a predicted model, not a curated record. The transcript has 2 exons.